RNAcentral lists this ribosomal RNA (164 nucleotides) under Haplocarpha lanata. RNAcentral's name for it is "5.8S ribosomal RNA". It matches the Rfam family "5.8S ribosomal RNA". Rfam says of the family: 5.8S ribosomal RNA (5.8S rRNA) is a component of the large subunit of the eukaryotic ribosome. It is transcribed by RNA polymerase I as part of the 45S precursor that also contains 18S and 28S rRNA. Functionally, it is thought that 5.8S rRNA may be involved in ribosome translocation. Lineage: Eukaryota; Viridiplantae; Streptophyta; Magnoliopsida; Asterales; Asteraceae. The record is from RNAcentral.
CAAACGACUCUCGGCAACGGAUAUCUCGGCUCACGCAUCGAUGAAGAACGUAGCAAAAUGCGAUACUUGGUGUGAAUUGCAGAAUCCCGUGAACCAUCGAGUUUUUGAACGCAAGUUGCGCCCGAAGCCAUCCGGCCGAGGGCACGUCUGCCUGGGCGUCACAC